Molecule: ribosomal RNA, 423 nt
Filed under: uncultured bacterium
Lineage: Bacteria
Description: bacterial SSU rRNA
Rfam family: Bacterial small subunit ribosomal RNA
Source: RNAcentral
UGCCAGCAGCCGCGGUAAUACGUAGGGUGCGAGCGUUAAUCGGAAUUACUGGGCGUAAAGCGUGCGCAGGCGGUCUUGCAAGACAGUGGUGAAAUCCCCGGGCUCAACCUGGGAACGGCCAUUGUGACUGCAAGGCUGGAGUACGGCAGAGGGGGAUGGAAUUCCGCGUGUAGCAGUGAAAUGCGUAGAUAUGCGGAGGAACACCGAUGGCGAAGGCAGUCCCCUGGGCCUGUACUGACGCUCAUGCACGAAAGCGUGGGGAGCAAACAGGAUUAGAUACCCUGGUAGUCCACGCCCUAAACGAUGUCAACUGGUUGUUGGGGAUUUACUUCCUCAGUAACGAAGCUAACGCGUGAAGUUGACCGCCUGGGGAGUACGGCCGCAAGGUUAAAGCUCAAAGGAAUUGACGGGGGCCCGCACAAG